GGAUCGGGCUGGGCUGGGCUGGGCUGGGCUGGGCUGGGCUGGGCUGGACUGCCAAUGUCCUGUGUGUUUUCUUUGCUCUGC
RNAcentral lists this microRNA precursor (81 nucleotides) under Choloepus hoffmanni (Hoffmann's two-fingered sloth). Its description in RNAcentral is "miRNA (ENSCHOG00000015015.1)". Lineage: Eukaryota; Metazoa; Chordata; Mammalia; Pilosa; Megalonychidae. The record is from RNAcentral.